RNAcentral lists this long non-coding RNA (451 nucleotides) under Mus spretus (western wild mouse). RNAcentral's name for it is "predicted gene 14573 (ENSMSPG00010043087.1)". The record is from RNAcentral. Lineage: Eukaryota; Metazoa; Chordata; Mammalia; Rodentia; Muridae.
GUUCGUUGAGAUAGCGCCUCGUGUGCACCACCAGCAGGUCCUCCUCCGAGGCCUCCCGAGCCUCCACCAGCAUGCCAUCGGACAGCAGCUUCUCUUCUGGAACCACAGAGCAAGACCCUGCUUCCUUUCCAGCUCUCAAAGUAGGCCCAGCCCCUAGGCCUGCCCUUGGGCUGCAGGCUAGCCUCUGGCAGCCCCUCAGCACACAGUGAACUUGUGGGUAUUCUGAGAAUGGCUGUCUCCCUAGGCCAGUGUGGCCAGCCGUUAGGCCCUCUGUCCAAGGGUUUGAACCUGAAACACACAGCAGUCUCCAUAUUUUCUGUGCUGCUGACAGCCACCAGAUGAACUCAGGUGGCUCAGGAUGGUGUGGCCUUUCUCUGCCUGAACCAAAGGAGAGCAGUGGCUCACAGGCAGCAGAAGCCAGAACUGAACAACUGCUGUUUUCAGAGCCUUG